Molecule: long non-coding RNA, 1472 nt
Filed under: Oryctolagus cuniculus (rabbit)
Lineage: Eukaryota; Metazoa; Chordata; Mammalia; Lagomorpha; Leporidae
Description: lncRNA (ENSOCUG00000035302.1)
Source: RNAcentral
GCACUUCGUGUGGCCACUUUGUGCAGUCUACACUCAUGCUCCAGACAUGUUUUAUGAUCACAGAAUGUGAGUUUAGCAUGCCUGGUUUAUGACAGUUUAGUAAUUGUUUUUUCUAACUGUAAGUAAUAAGGUUCAUCAGAGAAAAGCUACCAAUUACCAAAGAAACAAGUAAGAAACUUCCCUAAGUCCCACUACCCAGAAAUAGCAGGGGAUAUGUUGCCAAAUGUCCUCUCAAUAUUUCUGCUAUGCGUGCAUGAGUAUGUCUUGCAUUUUGUCCCCAAACCAAGCUGGGAUAAAGGUUGUGGUGAAAAAGGAAUAAAAUACCCUCUAGCCUUCCUCUCCCGGUAAAUCCAAUUAAAAUGCCUGCACACACUUGCAAGGCAGUCUCUAAAUAAUGGAGGAGACUUCUUGUUUCCCAUCCAGCAGGAAGAGCUUGGAAGUUAUCACUUUACCCUGAUAAUGGGAGAGCCAGGAAUGCACCUCUCAGAACAGGCUGGGUGCUGGCUUGGUGAUUUCACCGGGAAACCGUCGACAGAGGAACCUGAGAGGGUCGAAUCUUCUGUCUCUCGCAGGAAGCCAAGGGCUCCUCUGGGAGGGAUGGCCUUCCCACAUCGAGGCACAAACCGCCCAGACCAACAACCCAGCUGCCCCCAGCUCCAGAUGCCUUGUGCCUGUAUGCCUCAGCGCUGCUCCAGGGAGCCAGCGUAUUGUCCCUGCAGUGUGUAUCUCUUGCACAGGGUAUUAUUCUUUGUGUAUAGAGUCCAAGAGCGCUGGGCCUCACUCUCUAGAUCCAGCCAAAGAACCCACCUAAGAGCUAAACUGGGCGGUCCAGGGCAUCUUUCCCUCCCCAGCACAAGGGAGAAGCUGACCAAACUGAAUGCUUAGCAAGGCUGGGAGCAGCAUGGUGCAUUCUGUCAGACACGUGGCCCCCAAGCAGAAGAGAUGGGCUGGCAGACUCAGAGACUCACAGCUUGCCAGAGGAGAAGCACAGGAACAGGGACCUGUGCAGGGAGGAAAACUCCUGGUGUCCUGGUGUGGACAGGAGUUAAACACUCCUGGAAGACCUGCUCAGAGAGGAGUCUCCGUGUUUUGUGAAUUUUACCUUCAGGAGCUCAACCAGGAUCUCACAACGAAAAUGUGAAGAAAAUCCCCUUGUGAGGUAGGCACUUGGUGUGGCAGUUAAGUUGCCUCUAGAGAUGCUUGCCGCCCAUUUCAGAGAGUGCCCGCGUUUAAGUCCCAGCUCUGCUUUUGAUUCCAGCUUCCUGCUAGUGUGCACCCUGGGGAGCAGCAGGUGAUGGCUCAAGUCCUUGGAUCUUUGCCACUCACAUUGGAGACACAGAUUGUUCCAGGCUCCUCCAGCCCCAACUCUUAUGAGAAUUUGAAGAAUGAAUCAACAGAUGAGAGAUUUCUCGGAGUAUGUCUCUUUGUUUCAUUCAAAUAAAUUUUUUAAAAAGUUUUUUAAUCCCUUUGUG